GAUGAACGCUAGCGGCAGGCUUAACACAUGCAAGUCGAGGGGCAGCGCGGGAUAGCAAUAUCCUGGCGGCGACCGGCGGAAGGGUGCGUAACGCGUGAGCGACAUGCCCGUUGCCCGGGGACAACUGGUGGAAACGCCGACUAAUCCCCGAUGGGAUACGAUGCUUCAUGGCAUUGUAUUGAAAGUUACGGCGGCGACGGAUUGGCUCGCGUCCGAUUAGCUGGUUGGCGGGGUAACGGCCCACCAAGGCUGCGAUCGGUAGGGGUUCUGAGAGGAAGGCCCCCCACAAUGGGACUGAGACACGGCCCAUACUCCUACGGGAGGCAGCAGUGAGGAAUAUUGGUCAAUGGGCGGAAGCCUGAACCAGCCAUGCCGCGUGCGGGAAGGAGGCCCUAUGGGCUGUGAACCGCUUUUGCCUGGGGGCAAUAAGGGCGUCGCGCACGUCCGAUGAGAGUACCAGGCGAAUAAGCAUCGGCUAACUCCGUG
Molecule: ribosomal RNA, 486 nt
Filed under: uncultured bacterium
Lineage: Bacteria
Description: partial 16S ribosomal RNA
Rfam family: Bacterial small subunit ribosomal RNA
Source: RNAcentral